RNAcentral lists this ribosomal RNA (462 nucleotides) under uncultured bacterium. RNAcentral describes it as "partial 16S ribosomal RNA". It matches the Rfam family "Bacterial small subunit ribosomal RNA", at positions 338 to 795 of the family's 1533-position model. The record is from RNAcentral.
CCUACGGGUGGCAGCAGUGAGGAAUAUUGGUCAAUGGACGCAAGCCUGAACCAGCCAAGUAGCGUGCAGGAUGACGGCCCUCCGGGUUGUAAACUGCUUUUAGUUGGGAAUAAAAGGGGGCUCGUGAGCCCCGUAUUGUAUGUACCAUCAGAAAAAGGACCGGCUAAUUCCGUGCCAGCAGCCGCGGUAAUACGGAAGGUCCGGGCGUUAUCCGGAUUUAUUGGGUUUAAAGGGCGCGUAGAUGGGUUGUUAAGUCAGGUGUGAAAGUUUGCGGCUCAACCGUAAAAUUGCAAUUGAUACUGGCAGGCUUGAGUACAGUUGAGGUAGGCGGAAUUCGUGGUGUAGCGGUGAAAUGCUUAGAUAUCACGAAGAACCCCGAUUGGGAAGGCAGCUUACUAAACUGUGACUGACAUUGAUGCUCGAAAGUGUGGGUAUCAAACAGGAUUAGAUACCCGAGUAGUC